Molecule: ribosomal RNA, 678 nt
Filed under: Sideritis hyssopifolia
Lineage: Eukaryota; Viridiplantae; Streptophyta; Magnoliopsida; Lamiales; Lamiaceae
Description: eukaryotic LSU rRNA
Rfam family: 5.8S ribosomal RNA (bases 263-419)
Source: RNAcentral
CAAGKUUYCCKUAGGUGAACYUGCGGAAGGAUCAUUGUCGAAACYUGCAAAGCAGACCGCGAACACGUUCACAAACAAACCGGCGCCGCGUGGCGGGGGAAACCCCGAGACGCGGCCCGAUCCCGCCGGCGCUCGCGCCGCGCGGGCUAACAAACUCGGGCGCGGAAUGCGCCAAGGAAAACGAAAUGGAGCGCCCCCCUCCCCCGAGCGCCCCGUCCGCGGGGACACGGGGGGGAAAGGGACGCCUAUCGAAUGUCUAAACGACUCUCGGCAACGGAUAUCUCGGCUCUUCGCAUCGAUGAAGAACGUAGCGAAAUGCGAUACUUUGUGUGAAUUGCAGAAUCCCGUGAACCAUCGAGUCUUUGAACGCAAGUUGCGCCCGAAGCCAUUAGGCCGAGGGCACGCCUGCCUGGGCGUCACGCAUCGCGUCGCCCCCUCCCCCCCUCUCACGGGGGUGUCGGGGCGGAGAUUGGCCCCCCGUGCGCAGCGAUGCGCGCGGCCGGCCCAAACCCGAAUCCGCCGUCGACGCAACGUCGCGACCAGUGGUGGUUGAACCCUCAACUCGCGUGCUGUCGCGUCCCGAUGCGCCGUCGGUCCGGAGAGGACAAUCACCCAACGGAGCGAUCGCGAAUCGCGCCCACGACCGCGACCCCAGGUCAGGCGGGAUCACCCGCUGAG